CGUAGCUCAGUCGGAUAGAGCGUAAGACUCCGGAUCUUAAGGCCGGGGGUUCAAAUCCCCCUGG
Molecule: transfer RNA, 64 nt
Filed under: marine eukaryotic metagenome
Rfam family: tRNA
About the family: Transfer RNA (tRNA) molecules are approximately 80 nucleotides in length.
Source: RNAcentral